This 460-nucleotide ribosomal RNA is filed under the name uncultured bacterium. Its description in RNAcentral is "partial 16S ribosomal RNA". It matches the Rfam family "Bacterial small subunit ribosomal RNA", at positions 338 to 796 of the family's 1533-position model. The record is from RNAcentral.
CCUACGGGUGGCAGCAGUGAGGAAUAUUGGUCAAUGGCCGGAAGGCUGAACCAGCCAAGCCGCGUGAAGGACGAAGGUGCCAAGCAUUGUAAACUUCUUUUGUCAAGGGACAAAAUCAGGCUCGAGAGCCUGACCGAGGGUACUUGAAGAAAAAGCAUCGGCUAACUCCGUGCCAGCAGCCGCGGUAAUACGGAGGAUGCGAGCGUUAUCCGGAUUUAUUGGGUGUAAAGGGUGCGUAGGCGGGCUGUUAAGUCAGCGGUAAAAGCCCGGGGCUCAACCCCGGCGAGCCAUUGAAACUGGCUGUAGUGAGAGGUCGAGGGGUAGGCGGAAUGCGCAGUGUAGCGGUGAAAUGCUGAGAUAUGGCGCAGGACUCCGAUUGCGAAGGCAGCAGACCGGCGGCGAUCGGAAGCUGAGGCACGAAAGCGUGGGUAGCGAACAGGAUUAGAUACCCGGGUAGUUC